AUCGAUGCAACUCAAAUAUCAUCAAUAAUGCAAAAUGGUUUUAAACAAAAGAUGCAACUGAUGAUCAAAAGUUUUGAUUUGGUCUUUAUUUUCACUCUUUAUGAUGUCAGCAGCGAAUAAAGUAAAAACUCCAUCAGUGCCUUUUAUUACCAGUAUACUCUAUUUAAAACCACUUAAAGACAACAUCCAUUCACCAGCCUGUCUGUGUGUGUGUGUGUGUAGGGUUGAGCAGCAGCUUCUAAGAUAAAAUCAGCAGAAAAAAAGAAAUGUCAAGUACCCAAUGUUAAGGCACCAUAUGGCCUGUUUGUGUGUCUGGUGGUCUAUUGUUUGUCAGGACUUUCUAUUGGACAAUACACACACACACACACACACACACACACACACACACACACACACACACACACACACACACACACACACACACACACACACACACACACACA
This is a long non-coding RNA of Labrus mixtus (cuckoo wrasse), 443 nucleotides long. RefSeq lists it as uncharacterized. The record is from RefSeq and is a predicted model, not a curated record. NCBI's taxonomy places the organism in Eukaryota, Metazoa, Chordata, Actinopteri, Labriformes, Labridae. The transcript is spliced from 2 exons.